This 28-nucleotide small RNA is filed under the name Bombyx mori (domestic silkworm). RNAcentral describes it as "ovarian small RNA-21675". The record is from RNAcentral. Lineage: Eukaryota; Metazoa; Arthropoda; Insecta; Lepidoptera; Bombycidae.
UACUUGUACCAGUACUGCUCCGAAUCCC